Chelonia mydas (Green sea turtle) is the source of this 1658-nucleotide long non-coding RNA. RefSeq lists it as uncharacterized. The transcript has 2 exons. NCBI's taxonomy places the organism in Eukaryota, Metazoa, Chordata, Testudines, Cheloniidae. The record is from RefSeq and is a predicted model, not a curated record.
GAUGAAACUGCAAAGGAGCAGCCUCCCCCGUGCCUUUGCUCCUCUCGCAUGUGUAUUAUAACUGGACCUCACCCACUUGCUCUUCAGGCAAGGUCACAUGCUUGACAGGAGAUCUGCUACCCACAAAACCAGGACUAUCCGUGUAUAGCAGAAGGAUUUCAUCCUCCAGGGUCCAUCUGUAGCAGUUGAUACAGCUGCCAGUGGUCUGUAACUUUACUUUUCACCUCAGGGAUGUAGCAGAGGUUGACAGGAAAGACUGAAAAGUCUCCAUUCUUUUCUUUAAAGAUGCUCACACAGAUGGAUGAAGAACACUAGUCUCCAUGAGAACCAUUGUGGGAAAUUGUGAGUCACUGUGACCUCAAAUAGCAGCAAUAUGCAGACUGGAUGACAUUGACAUUCUCCCCUCAUUACAAGAUUUUUUUUUUUAACUUUUAACAUUCCUGAUAUAGUCUCCAUAACUGGAAUUUCAUUUGACUUCCUGCAUAGAUGUGCACACUUACUUUGUGCUGUACUCCACUGUUACAGUUCCACUGCUCUCUCUGGUUGUCUUAUUCCCACAGUUUCCAGCCCUCUGGCUUCCAGGAAGACCUUAGGGAAGUCCAUGGGAAUUGUGAGAGAAGGCAUCAAAUGCUUCUGGAAAACUCCCAUCAUUCCACAUCCCCAUUUUCUAGUCUUUCUCCAACUGGAGGACAGGAUGGACUGUUUGUUUCUUAUUAUACAAGAAAGGUUUCUAUUGGAGUGUUUGAAAAGCAGUUCCAAAGCAGCUACAAUAGGAAAUGGAGGGUGUUUGUUUGGACAGCACUAAGACUGUGAGCCCAACAGGGCAGAGACUGUCUCUUAUGUGUCUGCAUUUAUACCUACCAUUACCACAAUAAUGAAUUACAACUACCAUUAAUAGAAUCAUAAAUUAAAAUCCUUUUAAUAGAUUUUUUGCUAUUUCCACCUUCCACUCUUCAGUGCUUGUAGAUAUUUAUAGUAAUAUAAUGUUACAACACUACCCUCCUCCCAAUCUUGCCUACGUAUUGAUUGUAUCCGACUACAUUGUAAAUUUGUGAUGCAUCAUGAGACUGCAGUGGCACAAGGGCCAAACCUAAGAUUCCGAUGAAGAAUCGGAGCCCAAAAUCAUCACUGUAUUUGUCCAUAGGAAACCUGUUUCAUACUGCUUAUUAUUCACGCUUUUAAUUCUAGCACUAGCGUAUGGCCAAAUCAGAAUUCAUUUACCCCCUAACACUAUUUCAGUGUUUCCUUUGUCAGGUUUUGCUUUUCUUCUUUGCAAGCCCUAUGACACCCAGUUUGUUAAAUUUAUCCUCUGUAUUUUUAAUGUCUCUUCAUGUUGGCAUUAAAGCCUUCCCAAACAAUUGUGGCAGGGCACCCUUCCCAUACCAUCGCAGUAUAAUAAAUUAUCUUUGAAACAAAUGAUCUCUUUGUACACUACCUCUUCAGGCACUAGUUUACUUCCAAGAUUUUCUGAAAAGAUUACCUACAGUUCACAGGUCUCUCCUUCAGCUCCUAAUGCUGGUCCUUGAAAUACUCUUUGCUUGUAUUCAUUUUGCUUCUGGCCUUAUCCAUUCUAAACACAUGAGAAAUUGUAUUCCAUCUGUUUUCAUGAUCCUGUCCGUGACCUUGUUUGGAAGUAAUAAAGCCAUAUCCUGCAAGCA